GCCUCUUCCACAUAACAUUUUCUGGCGGAUGUAUAGCAUCUUUGCAUAAGGAAUCAGAGAAUUUGCAAGGAUUGGCCGGUGAAAGAUGAGGAUUCAAUCAAACUCUGAGAUCUCAGAGCACCGAUGGCUGAGUUUGAAAAUUGAGACUGCAGACUCCAGUCUUGCUAAGGAAGCAGCUCAGAGGUGCACAGAUAUCCUGGAUUGUGACAUUCAAAUGAAUACACUGCAGAAGAAAGAAGUGUAUUGCCACAGAAUAUGGGAUAAUUACUACAGACCAGGUGUAUCAGUCUUACAGGAAAAUGAGCUUGAAGCUUACAGGUUACUCAGAAGUGCCCAGGAGCUAGGGUCAUCGAAUAUAUGCCAAUGUGUAGAUUGCAGAUUGCAAGGGGGGGAUGUCUGUGCCACCAACACCCUGGGAACUGGCCCCAUCAAUAGUCAGUUCACAUUGGCACAGGUACCUCAGUCUGAAGGUCAGUGCUGGCCAAAGACGGAAAGACACAUAGGCAUUUUCAGGCUAUCCCCUUAUGCUCCAAGUCCUCACCUCAUCCCCCAUCCCCACACAAAGUCUACCACAAAAGGCCUGAAAAGGCUUGUUGGUUUUAAAAAUGAGCUGUGGAGUCCACAGUGUAGACCUUAUGGCAGGUACCCAGGCAAUGACAGGUACUUAUGCAAAAAAGUUUGUUUUCUAGGAUGGCCUUAUGCAUCUGGUCUGCAGGUUAGACCUCCUGUCUGAGCUCCGGACAUGCUUACGGAUGUUCAGCCAUGUGCGCUUUCACACCAAAAAGAGAUCCUGCUCCCUUACAAGCCACACAAAUGCUGACAUUCACUUCUACACGAGCAAAUUCAAGCACUGUAAUUAUAGAUAUCCUGUUCCACUUUUAAUCUCUUUAACUCAGUUUUGUUCUGUCCAUAUUUACAGGGACUGGCUACUGGACAUGGUAAAUGGAGCAAUUAUCUACAUACAUGUCCUUCACUGAAUAAACACAGACACUCAGGUAGCAUUUCCCUAGAUAUUCUCCACACUUACUGUAACUUUUAAAUUUGUAGCCACAUUUUAAACAGACAGACAAAAAAACAAACAUACAUUAAUGAGAACUCUUAAAAUCUAAUCACAUCUCCCUGUACCGAUUCACUCCUGAUUCAUACAGCCUGCUUACAGUGGCUCAGAGAGCAGUACUUGCAACCAGCAUUUACAAACAAUUCCACGAAGUGCUCAGGCCCAUACAUGUGCCUCAACAUUUUGCCAAUGGAAACUUUUAAAUGAAGCAAUAUUCUUAAUAUCAGAGCCAGGUACCAAAUCUGCAGCAUGACUGGGGCUCACAGGCAACUCUUAGAACAGCAGUAAGAUUCCAGUAAAAUUGCGGUUGGUUGCAAUCCAACCUUUAUACUGUUAUCUCUCGUUGAGAUAUAUAUAGACGACCCUGUAUGGCCUAACUGCAAAUAUCAAAUGUAUUUUUACAAGUUAGCAACAGCCUUUUUUGACAUUGCCUCUUGAGAUGUCCUCUACAUUGUGACUGACAAGCACAAACAUAAUUCAUUAUACAGUAUGCUUUAAAAGCCUUUUUUUACAUUCGACUUUUACUGUUGCUUGUUUCUGAGCUGUCUUCUAGUGCUGAGAUUUGCUGUCCCCGUCCUUUUUGAUUUCUUUCUUAGUUUUUAAUUGCUGGUUGGACAUGCCAGUGGCAUCUCCCAGGCAAACCCUUUCUACAUAAUUAGUUUUGAAACUCGGAUGAGUCAUUGGGCCCUUAACUACUAUGCCUCUAUUAUUUUAACUUGAAUACAGCACAUCUCAAAGAUUUUGGCCUCUUUUUGCAGUUGUGGAAAUUCAUAGGAUGACAUUGCUGCAGGUCUUGAUCCAUUUGCUUUCUAUUGUAAGUUUCCAGGGUUUUUUUCACAAUAUAAAGCACAUUUCAAAGCCUAACAGUGUUGUGAACCAGCCUCCUCUCCCAGUGGUGCAGAUCAUUUUCUGCUUUACUGGCAGCUGAAUAAAGCAAUGCCAUAUUUAUGACAAAAGUUAAUGAAAAUAUGUAAAAUUAAAAAUACUUCAUGUAGUUUUCAUUUUCUUUUAAUGCAGGUUGACAAAUGAAAACAGAACACAGACAGCCACACAGGGCCAUGCUGGUUUUUAUGGCCCACCAGUGACAACUCAAGAGGCCACAGUUUGGGAACUGCUGUUUCAGAAAAUUCUAGCCAAUCUCUUUAAGAGACCACAUGUGACCCUACCACAAAUCAUAUCCUAGCAGAACUGCGGCUGGCAAAGAAUACAUAUUUAUGGUAGGCAUUCUCAUCAUUCACUGAGAAUCUAAAAAAUCCAAACCAUUAUAGUUAAAAUGGGUUGAGAUAAAAGAUAAAUGAAGUGGGUGUAAUUUUCUUUUAGCCUAUGCACUUUCAUAGGGAAAUUUUCACAAAGCUGACAUUGGUACAGGACAUACCAAUUAUUGGUUUCUGUGAUGAUUCUGACCCAUAUUAAGGAUUUGACCUCAUAAUCCCUAGCUACAGUCCUUCCUAUAUUCCCAUGAUAAACAAAGGGGGCUUUGUCUUACAGAAGACUAUGGGACUGGACUCAAAACAUUUUCUUGGGGUUCAGAUGCCACAUCCAUGAAAAUGGGAAAGACCCAAGCAGAAAUGUAUUUCUACAAUAGGGGCAAAGAGGCUGAGUUGAAGAGCCACUACACUAUUGUGCAGUAUGACACAGGCGUUUCCUAAGGAAGUACCGCCCUUCUUUUUGCAAAUGGAGUAUACAAGCAGUUUCUCACCUGAACUUCAAGUUGUAACCCCCUGUGUAGUAUUAUUGCAUACUUGUUACUUGUUCUGUCAGACAAAAUCAAAAUGCAUCUCUUUAAAAUCUGCACAUAGUUUACAAAAAUCUGCACAUAGUUUACAAAAAUGUCUCUUUAUAUAGAGAGUAAGUUCAAUCUAUAGUUAGCUGUUUGUCGUGUGAGAAGGAUAAUACCUGGGUUGCUGUGAAAAGAUACUGCUUUGGAAAAUAGCUCCUAAGUCUUGUCUUUGAACUCCCCCAAAGCUUCUGAAAGAGGACUUCAAAACACCCAGCUGCAGCCACAACUAAUCAAAAUAGGAAAAGGUGGGGAAUGAUGAGAAAGUGCCAGUAUCCAGUACUUGUAGAGCCAGAUUUUAGGUCCUGAACUCAGAUUCAGCAGUACCUUAUUCUGCAACUAAUUUUAGGAUGGUAAAUCUGACAGAGCGCUCUAAUUAAAGAGCAGAAGAAACCAGUUCCAUGUAAUUCUUUAGAAGAUCCAGUAUGAGAUCUCAUGCAUCAGUUACUCUCUUUACAUCCACAGAACUCCCACCAAGCUUGGCAGGGGCUUAUAGAAAGUCUGGCGUCUGACUUUGACUCCGAAGGGCUGAUUUGGGGGUGAUUUACCAGGGAAGAUAAAGGGGCCCCUUAGCAACCCCCUUGACACAACAGAUGUUCCUGACGU
Gavia stellata (red-throated loon) is the source of this 3440-nucleotide long non-coding RNA. RefSeq lists it as uncharacterized. The record is from RefSeq and is a predicted model, not a curated record. NCBI's taxonomy places the organism in Eukaryota, Metazoa, Chordata, Aves, Gaviiformes, Gaviidae. The transcript has 3 exons.